UUGUCGAAAAGAGGUCGCAGAUAAUAUUAGUAAUUAUCCGGAGAUAUUAAAGUAUUACUGAUGGAUAAUGAAAGGAGCAUCUGCCGAAGCUAAUGUUGCUUUAACGGCAUUAAGCUGGGGUUCAGCCUAAUAAGCUGAAAACUGUCGCAAGUAAUUGCGGAGCGCUAUCGAGUAU
RNAcentral lists this non-coding RNA (175 nucleotides) under Liquorilactobacillus capillatus. RNAcentral's name for it is "Lactobacillus capillatus Lysine sequence". It matches the Rfam family "Lysine riboswitch aptamer". Rfam says of the family: Riboswitches are metabolite binding domains within certain messenger RNAs that serve as precision sensors for their corresponding targets. RNAcentral also lists the same sequence under 1 other name. The record is from RNAcentral. Lineage: Bacteria; Bacillati; Bacillota; Bacilli; Lactobacillales; Lactobacillaceae.